RNAcentral lists this microRNA (22 nucleotides) under Mus musculus (house mouse). Its description in RNAcentral is "mmu-miR-6959-3p". The record is from miRBase by way of RNAcentral. Lineage: Eukaryota; Metazoa; Chordata; Mammalia; Rodentia; Muridae.
CUGCACCGACCUGCUCUCCCAG